UACAGAGGUCCCAAGCGUUGUUCGGAUUCACUGGGCGUAAAGGGUGCGUAGGCGGCUUGCCAAGUCUGAUGUGAAAUCUCCGGGCUUAACCCGGAAACUGCAUUGGAAACUAUCAAGCUUGAGGAUUGGAGGGGAGACUGGAAUUCUCGGUGUAGCAGUGAAAUGCGUAGAUAUCGAGAGGAACAUCAGUGGCGAAGGCGAGUCUCUAGACAAUUCCUGACGCUGAGGCACGAAAGCUAGGGGAGCAAACAGG
RNAcentral lists this ribosomal RNA (253 nucleotides) under uncultured bacterium. RNAcentral describes it as "partial 16S ribosomal RNA". It matches the Rfam family "Bacterial small subunit ribosomal RNA", at positions 524 to 776 of the family's 1533-position model. The record is from RNAcentral.